UACAGAGGGUGCAAGCGUUAAUCGGAGUUACUGGGCGUAAAGGGCGCGUAGGCGGUUAUAUAAGUGAGCUGUGAAAUCCCUGGGCUUAACCUAGGAACUGCAGCUCAUACUGUGUAACUGGAGUAUUGUAGAGGGUAGUGGAAUUUCCGGUGUAGCGGUGAAAUGCGUAGAGAUCGGAAGGAACACCAGUGGCGAAGGCGGCUACCUGGACAAAUACUGACGCUGAGGCGCGAGAGCGUGGGGAGCAAACAGG
Molecule: ribosomal RNA, 253 nt
Filed under: uncultured bacterium
Lineage: Bacteria
Description: partial 16S ribosomal RNA
Rfam family: Bacterial small subunit ribosomal RNA
Source: RNAcentral